GACGAACGUUGGCGGCGUGCUUAAUACAUGCAAGUCAACUGAAGCAGUGGUAGCAAUAUCGCUGUGGAGGUGGCGCACGGGUGAGUAACACGCAGGUAAUCUGCCUUCAGGUCUGGCAUAACUCCGGGAAACCGGGGCUAAUAGCAGAUGAUGCAGCGGCUCGACAUCGAGACAGUUGUUAAAGCUAUGGCGCCUGAAGAUGAGCCUGCGUCUGAUUAGCUAGUUGGCGGGGUAACGGCCCACCAAGGCAACGAUCAGUAGCUGGUCUGAGAGGAUGAUCAGCCACACUGGAACUGAGACACGGUCCAGACUCCUACGGGAGGCAGCAGUAAGGAAUAUUGCUCAAUGGGAGAAAUCCUGAAGCAGCAACGCCGCGUGAGGGACGAAGGGCUUUUGCUUGUAAACCUCUGUAGUGAGAGGAAAAAAUCCCAAUCUUUGGGACAUGAUGGUAUCUCAAAAGUAAGCCCCGGCUAACUACGUG
RNAcentral lists this ribosomal RNA (481 nucleotides) under uncultured bacterium. RNAcentral's name for it is "partial 16S ribosomal RNA". It matches the Rfam family "Bacterial small subunit ribosomal RNA", at positions 28 to 507 of the family's 1533-position model. The record is from RNAcentral.